AGUGAACGCUGGCGGUAGGCCUAACACAUGCAAGUCGAACGGCAGCACAGGAGAGCUUGCUCUCUGGGUGGCGAGUGGCGGACGGGUGAGGAAUACAUCGGAAUCUACUCUGUCGUGGGGGAUAACGUAGGGAAACUUACGCUAAUACCGCAUACGACCUACGGGUGAAAGCAGGGGACCUUCGGGCCUUGCGCGAUUGAAUGAGCCGAGGUCGGAUUAGCUAGUUGGCGGGGUAAAGGCCAACCAAGGCGACGAUCCGUAGCUGGUCUGAGAGGAUGAUCAGCCACACUGGAACUGAGACACGGUCCAGACUCCUACGGGAGGAAGCAGUGGGGAAUAUUGGACAAUGGGCGCAAGCCUGAUCCAGCCAUACCGCGUGGGUGAAGAAGGCCUUCGGGUUGUAAAGCCCUUUUGUUGGGAAAGAAAUCCAGCUGGUUAAUACCCGGUUGGGAUGACGGUACCCAAAGAAUAAGCACCGGCUAACUUCGUGCCAGCCGCCGCAGUAA
RNAcentral lists this ribosomal RNA (506 nucleotides) under uncultured bacterium. Its description in RNAcentral is "partial 16S ribosomal RNA". It matches the Rfam family "Bacterial small subunit ribosomal RNA", at positions 29 to 523 of the family's 1533-position model. The record is from RNAcentral.